AAGCAGAGGGGGCUUAGUGGUGGGGUGACUGCGUACCUUUUGUAUAAUGGGUCAGCGACUUAUAUUCUGUAGCAAGGUUAACUGUAUAGGGGAGCCGGAGGGAAACCGAGUCUUAACCGGGCGUUAAGUUGCAGGGUAUAGACCCGAAACCCGGUGAUCUAGCCAUGGGCAGGUUGAAGGUUGGGUAACACUAACUGGAGGACCGAACCGACUAAUGUUGAAAAAUUAGCGGAUGACCUGUGGCUGGGGGUGAAAGGCCAAUCAAACCGGGAGAUAGCUGGUUCUCCCCGAAAGCUAUUUAGGUAGCGCCUCGUGAAUUCAUCUCCGGGGGUAGAGCACUGUUUCGGCUAGGGGGCCAUCCCGGCUUACCAACCCGAUGCAAACUGCGAAUACCGGAGAAUGUUAUCACGGGAGACACACGGCGGGUGCUAAUGUCCGUCGUGAAGAGGGAAACAACCCAGACCGCCAGCUAAGGUCCCAAAGUCAUGGUUAAGUGGGAAACGAUGUGGGAAGGCCCAGACAGCCAGGAUGUUGGCUUAGAAGCAGCCAUCAUUUAAAGAAAGCGUAAUAGCUCACUGGUCGAGUCGGCCUGCGCGGAAGAUGUAACGGGGCUAAACCAUGCACCGAAGCUGCGGCAGCGACACCGUGUGUUGUUGGGUAGGGGAGCGUUCUGUAAGCCUGUGAAGGUGUGCUGUGAGGCAUGCUGGAGGUAUCAGAAGUGCGAAUGCUGACAUAAGUAACGAUAAAGCGGGUGAAAAGCCCGCUCGCCGGAAGACCAAGGGUUCCUGUCCAACGUUAAUCGGGGCAGGGUGAGUCGACCCCUAAGGCGAGGCCGAAAGGCGUAGUCGAUGGGAAACGGGUUAAUAUUCCCGUACUUGGUGUUACUGCGAAGGGGGGACGGAGAAGGCUAUGUUGGCCGGGCGACGGUUGUCCCGGUUUAAGCGUGUAGGUAUGUGUUCCAGGUA
This 965-nucleotide ribosomal RNA is filed under the name Salmonella enterica subsp. enterica serovar Typhi. RNAcentral describes it as "partial 23S ribosomal RNA". It matches the Rfam family "Bacterial large subunit ribosomal RNA", at positions 568 to 1538 of the family's 2925-position model. The record is from RNAcentral. Lineage: Bacteria; Pseudomonadati; Pseudomonadota; Gammaproteobacteria; Enterobacterales; Enterobacteriaceae.